RNAcentral lists this ribosomal RNA (253 nucleotides) under uncultured bacterium. Its description in RNAcentral is "partial 16S ribosomal RNA". It matches the Rfam family "Bacterial small subunit ribosomal RNA", at positions 524 to 776 of the family's 1533-position model. The record is from RNAcentral.
UACGUAGGGGGCAAGCGUUGUCCGGAAUUAUUGGGCGUAAAGAGCGUGUAGGCGGCCAGGUAGGUCCGGUGUGAAAACUCGAGGCUUAACCUCGAGAUGUCAUCGGAAACCAUUUGGCUAGAGUCCGGAAGAGGAAAGUGGAAUUCCUGGUGUAGCGGUGAAAUGCGUAGAUAUCAAGAGGAACACCUGAGGUGAAGACGGGUUGCUAGGCUGACACUGACGCUGAGGCGCGAAAGCCAGGGGAGCAAACGGG